This 253-nucleotide ribosomal RNA is filed under the name uncultured bacterium. Its description in RNAcentral is "partial 16S ribosomal RNA". It matches the Rfam family "Bacterial small subunit ribosomal RNA", at positions 524 to 776 of the family's 1533-position model. The record is from RNAcentral.
UACGGAGGGGGCAAGCGUUGUUCGGAAUUACUGGGCGUAAAGGGCGCGUAGGCGGUUUGCUAAGUCGGAUGUGAAAUCCCUGGGCUCAACCCAGGAACUGCGUCCGAUACUGGUUGGCUUGAAUCCGGGAGAGGGACGUGGAAUUCCAGGUGUAGCGGUGAAAUGCGUAGAUAUCUGGAGGAACACCGGUGGCGAAGGCGACGUCCUGGACCGGCAUUGACGCUGAGGCGCGAAAGCCAGGGGAGCAAACGGG